AAUUGCUUAUCUUAAAGAUUUACAGAAAUUGGUGCUGACAAAUAAUCAGCUGAGUACGUUACCCAGAGGCAUCGGCCACCUCACCAACCUGACUCACCUUGUUUGGGGGAGAACCUGCUGCAGCACCUUCCAGAGGAGAUUGGUACACUGGAGAACUUGGAGGAACUGUACCUCAACGACAACCCCAACCUGCACAGCCUCCCGUUCGAGCUGGCCCUCUGCAGCAAGCUGUCCAUCAUG
This is a long non-coding RNA of Micropterus salmoides (largemouth bass), 240 nucleotides long. RefSeq lists it as uncharacterized. Lineage: Eukaryota; Metazoa; Chordata; Actinopteri; Centrarchiformes; Centrarchidae. The transcript is spliced from 3 exons. The record is from RefSeq and is a predicted model, not a curated record.